Molecule: ribosomal RNA, 1528 nt
Filed under: Escherichia coli 2720900
Lineage: Bacteria; Pseudomonadati; Pseudomonadota; Gammaproteobacteria; Enterobacterales; Enterobacteriaceae
Also listed under: 3 other names
Description: bacterial SSU rRNA
Rfam family: Bacterial small subunit ribosomal RNA
Source: RNAcentral
GAGUUUGAUCAUGGCUCAGAUUGAACGCUGGCGGCAGGCCUAACACAUGCAAGUCGAACGGUAACAGGAAGCAGCUUGCUGCUUCGCUGACGAGUGGCGGACGGGUGAGUAAUGUCUGGGAAACUGCCUGAUGGAGGGGGAUAACUACUGGAAACGGUAGCUAAUACCGCAUAACGUCGCAAGACCAAAGAGGGGGACCUUCGGGCCUCUUGCCAUCGGAUGUGCCCAGAUGGGAUUAGCUUGUUGGUGGGGUAACGGCUCACCAAGGCGACGAUCCCUAGCUGGUCUGAGAGGAUGACCAGCCACACUGGAACUGAGACACGGUCCAGACUCCUACGGGAGGCAGCAGUGGGGAAUAUUGCACAAUGGGCGCAAGCCUGAUGCAGCCAUGCCGCGUGUAUGAAGAAGGCCUUCGGGUUGUAAAGUACUUUCAGCGGGGAGGAAGGGAGUAAAGUUAAUACCUUUGCUCAUUGACGUUACCCGCAGAAGAAGCACCGGCUAACUCCGUGCCAGCAGCCGCGGUAAUACGGAGGGUGCAAGCGUUAAUCGGAAUUACUGGGCGUAAAGCGCACGCAGGCGGUUUGUUAAGUCAGAUGUGAAAUCCCCGGGCUCAACCUGGGAACUGCAUCUGAUACUGGCAAGCUUGAGUCUCGUAGAGGGGGGUAGAAUUCCAGGUGUAGCGGUGAAAUGCGUAGAGAUCUGGAGGAAUACCGGUGGCGAAGGCGGCCCCCUGGACGAAGACUGACGCUCAGGUGCGAAAGCGUGGGGAGCAAACAGGAUUAGAUACCCUGGUAGUCCACGCCGUAAACGAUGUCGACUUGGAGGUUGUGCCCUUGAGGCGUGGCUUCCGGAGCUAACGCGUUAAGUCGACCGCCUGGGGAGUACGGCCGCAAGGUUAAAACUCAAAUGAAUUGACGGGGGCCCGCACAAGCGGUGGAGCAUGUGGUUUAAUUCGAUGCAACGCGAAGAACCUUACCUGGUCUUGACAUCCACGGAAGUUUUCAGAGAUGAGAAUGUGCCUUCGGGAACCGUGAGACAGGUGCUGCAUGGCUGUCGUCAGCUCGUGUUGUGAAAUGUUGGGUUAAGUCCCGCAACGAGCGCAACCCUUAUCCUUUGUUGCCAGCGGUCCGGCCGGGAACUCAAAGGAGACUGCCAGUGAUAAACUGGAGGAAGGUGGGGAUGACGUCAAGUCAUCAUGGCCCUUACGACCAGGGCUACACACGUGCUACAAUGGCGCAUACAAAGAGAAGCGACCUCGCGAGAGCAAGCGGACCUCAUAAAGUGCGUCGUAGUCCGGAUUGGAGUCUGCAACUCGACUCCAUGAAGUCGGAAUCGCUAGUAAUCGUGGAUCAGAAUGCCACGGUGAAUACGUUCCCGGGCCUUGUACACACCGCCCGUCACACCAUGGGAGUGGGUUGCAAAAGAAGUAGGUAGCUUAACCUUCGGGAGGGCGCUUACCACUUUGUGAUUCAUGACUGGGGUGAAGUCGUAACAAGGUAACCGUAGGGGAACCUGCGGUUGGAUCACC